UACGUAGGGUGCAAGCGUUGUCCGGAAUUAUUGGGCGUAAAGCGCGUGUAGGCGGCUUGGCAAGUCGGGUGUGAAAGCCCUGGGCUUAACCUAGGAAGUGCACUCGAAACUGCCGAGCUUGAGUUCUGGAGAGGAAGGCGGAAUUCUCGGUGUAGAGGUGAAAUUCGUAGAUAUCGAGAGGAACACCGGUGGCGAAGGCGGCCUUCUGGACAGCAACUGACGCUGAGACGCGAAAGCGUGGGGAGCAAACAGG
RNAcentral lists this ribosomal RNA (253 nucleotides) under uncultured bacterium. RNAcentral's name for it is "partial 16S ribosomal RNA". It matches the Rfam family "Bacterial small subunit ribosomal RNA", at positions 524 to 776 of the family's 1533-position model. The record is from RNAcentral.